Molecule: long non-coding RNA, 433 nt
Filed under: Prunus persica (peach)
Lineage: Eukaryota; Viridiplantae; Streptophyta; Magnoliopsida; Rosales; Rosaceae
Description: long non-coding RNA (PPER_LNC004661)
Source: RNAcentral
CCGAGUGGAAUACCCUUUAAAGGAUAUAGGAAAAGAAAUUCUAGUUACUUAUCAGAUAAAUGGCAGCAAAAUUUGAAAGGUUACAGAAACUUUAUAUUUUCCUAAACCACCUUGUACCCAGAUAUUAAAAGUUGCCUUCAGAUUAAAUGUUGCCUUCGGAUUAUAUGGGUUGCGGGGAAACUCUGCUGGUUUUUCGGUAGAAGUCAACCUUGUUAUUUUAUCGUGUUUUGUAUAGAAGGUCAAUUAGGUCAUUCGUGCCCGACAUCCGCCAGGUGUCGGACACGCCGGCUCGGAUUCCAAAGCGGAAUUUGGGUUGGCUCCUGUCACCUUGUAUUCCAGCUAUCUGUGCAAUGAGAGGAUUCUCUUGGUAUGGCCAAGCCAAUACUGGUGGAGGGCCAUAAGGGAGGUCUAGCUGCUAGACUACAACAUCUGG